Molecule: ribosomal RNA, 216 nt
Filed under: Streptosporangium minutum
Lineage: Bacteria; Bacillati; Actinomycetota; Actinomycetes; Streptosporangiales; Streptosporangiaceae
Description: partial 23S ribosomal RNA
Rfam family: Bacterial large subunit ribosomal RNA
Source: RNAcentral
AGUGGACGCGAGCAUCUUUGUGGCCAAGUUUUUUAGGGCACACGGUGGAUGCCUUGGCAUCAGGAGCCGAUGAAGGACGUGGGAGGCUGCGUUAAGCCCCGGGGAGUCGCCAACCUGACUUUGAUCCGGGGAUGUCCGAAUGGGGAAACCUAGCACCAGUCAUGUGGUGUUGCCUCCGCCUGAAUGUAUAGGGCGGUUGGUGGUAACGCGGGGAAG